This 1440-nucleotide ribosomal RNA is filed under the name uncultured organism. Its description in RNAcentral is "SSU rRNA". It matches the Rfam family "Bacterial small subunit ribosomal RNA". The record is from RNAcentral.
UAGCUACAGGCUUAACACAUGCAAGUCGAGGGGCAGCAUGGUCUUAGCUUGCUAAGGCCGAUGGCGACCGGCGCACGGGUGAGUAACACGUAUCCAACCUGCCGUCUACUCUUGGACAGCCUUCUGAAAGGAAGAUUAAUACAAGAUGGCAUCAUGAGUCCGCAUGUUCACAUGAUUAAAGGUAUUCCGGUAGACGAUGGGGAUGCGUUCCAUUAGAUAGUAGGCGGGGUAACGGCCCACCUAGUCUUCGAUGGAUAGGGGUUCUGAGAGGAAGGUCCCCCACAUUGGAACUGAGACACGGUCCAAACUCCUACGGGAGGCAGCAGUGAGGAAUAUUGGUCAAUGGGCGAGAGCCUGAACCAGCCAAGUAGCGUGAAGGAUGACUGCCCUAUGGGUUGUAAACUUCUUUUAUAAAGGAAUAAAGUCGGGUAUGGAUACCCGUUUGCAUGUACUUUAUGAAUAAGGAUCGGCUAACUCCGUGCCAGCAGCCGCGGUAAUACGGAGGAUCCGAGCGUUAUCCGGAUUUAUUGGGUUUAAAGGGAGCGUAGAUGGAUGUUUAAGUCAGUUGUGAAAGUUUGCGGCUCAACCGUAAAAUUGCAGUUGAUACUGGAUAUCGUGAGUGCAGUUGAGGCAGGCGGAAUUCGUGGUGUAGCGGUGAAAUGCUUAGAUAUCACGAAGAACUCCGAUUGCGAAGGCAGCCUGCUAAGCUGCAACUGACAUUGAGGCUCGAAAGUGUGGGUAUCAAACAGGAUUAGAUACCCUGGUAGUCCACACGGUAAACGAUGAAUACUCGCUGUUUGCGAUAUACUGCAAGCGGCCAAGCGAAAGCGUUAAGUAUUCCACCUGGGGAGUACGCCGGCAACGGUGAAACUCAAAGGAAUUGACGGGGGCCCGCACAAGCGGAGGAACAUGUGGUUUAAUUCGAUGAUACGCGAGGAACCUUACCCGGGCUUAAAUUGCAGAUGAAUUACGGUGAAAGCCGUAAGCCGCAAGGCAUCUGUGAAGGUGCUGCAUGGUUGUCGUCAGCUCGUGCCGUGAGGUGUCGGCUUAAGUGCCAUAACGAGCGCAACCCUUGUUGUCAGUUACUAACAGGUUCCGCUGAGGACUCUGACAAGACUGCCAUCGUAAGAUGUGAGGAAGGUGGGGAUGACGUCAAAUCAGCACGGCCCUUACGUCCGGGGCUACACACGUGUUACAAUGGGGGGUACAGAGGGCCGCUACCACGCGAGUGGAUGCCAAUCCCCAAAACCUCUCUCAGUUCGGACUGGAGUCUGCAACCCGACUCCACGAAGCUGGAUUCGCUAGUAAUCGCGCAUCAGCCACGGCGCGGUGAAUACGUUCCCGGCCCUUGUACACACCGCCCGUCAAGCCAUGGGAGCCGGGGGUACCUGAAGUGCGUAACCGAGAGGAGCGCCCUAGGGUAAAACUGGUGACUGGGGA